AGUGAACGCUGGCGGUAGGCCUAACACAUGCAAGUCGAACGGCAGCACAGUAAGAGCUUGCUCUUACGGGUGGCGAGUGGCGGACGGGUGAGGAAUACAUCGGAAUCUACUUUUUCGUGGGGGAUAACGUAGGGAAACUUACGCUAAUACCGCAUACGACCUACGGGUGAAAGCAGGGGAUCUUCGGACCUUGCGCGAUUGAAUGAGCCGAUGUCGGAUUAGCUAGUUGGCGGGGUAAAGGCCCACCAAGGCGACGAUGCGUAGCUGGUCUGAGAGGAUGAUCAGCCACACUGGACCUGAGACACGGUCCAGACUCCUACGGGAGGCAGCAUUGGGGAAUAUUGGACAAUGGGCGCAAGCCUGAUCCAGUCAUACCGCGUGAGUGAAGAAGGCCUUCGGGUUGUAAAGCCCUUUUGUUGGGAAAGAAAAGCAGCAGGUUAAUACCCCGCUGUUCUGACGGUACCCAAAGAAUAAGCACCGGCUAACUUCGUG
RNAcentral lists this ribosomal RNA (492 nucleotides) under uncultured bacterium. Its description in RNAcentral is "partial 16S ribosomal RNA". It matches the Rfam family "Bacterial small subunit ribosomal RNA", at positions 29 to 507 of the family's 1533-position model. The record is from RNAcentral.